Molecule: long non-coding RNA, 17286 nt
Organism: Homo sapiens (human)
Lineage: Eukaryota; Metazoa; Chordata; Mammalia; Primates; Hominidae
Source: Ensembl
GCCCCGGGCCUGCCCAGGGGGAGAGCGGAGCGGCCCGCAGCCGGGUCGGGUCGGGGCCCCUCCCGGGAGGAGCGUGGAGCGGCGGCGGCGGCAGUAGAAAUAAUGGAAGAAUUGCAUAGCCUGGACCCACGACGGCAGGAAUUAUUAGAGGCCAGGUUUACUGGAGUAGGUGUUAGUAAGGGACCACUUAAUAGUGAGUCUUCCAACCAGAGCUUGUGUAGCGUCAGAUCCUUGAGUGAUAAAGGAGUAGAGGGAAAGGCACUCCUAGGGGACAUAAAAUUAGUGAUUACUUUGAGUUUGCUGGGGGAAGCGGGCCAGGAACCAGCCCUGGCAGAAGUGUUCCACCAGUUGCACGAUCCUCACCGCAACAUUCCUUAUCCAAUCCCUUACCGUGACGAGUAGCACAGCCCCUCUAUGGUUUAGAUGGCAGUGCUGCAAAGGAGGCAACAGAGGAGCAGUCUGCUCUGCCAAUCCUCACGUCAGUGAUGCUAGCAAAACCUCGGCUUGACACAGAGCAGCUGGCGUAAAGGAGAGCUGGCCUCUGCUUCACUUUUGUUUCAGCUCAGCAAAACAGUCCCUCAUCUACGGGAUCUGGCAACACAGAGCAUUCCUGCAGCUCCCAAAAACAGAUCUCCAUCCAGCACAGACAGACCCAGUCCAACCUCACAAUAGAAAAAAUAUCUGCACUAGAAAACAGUAAGAAUUCUGACCUAGAGAAGAGGGAGGGAAGAAUAGAUGAUUUAUUAAGAGCCAACUGUGAUUUGAGACGGCAGAUUGAUGAACAGCAAAAGAUGCUAGAGAAAUACAAGGAACAAUUAAAUAGAUGUGUGACAAUGAGCAAGAAACUCCUUAUAGAAAAGAUGAUGAUUAUUCCCCACCUUCUAAGAGACAAAGACCAACGAGCCACCACAGCCACCGGUCCCAGAACCCGCCAAUGCUGGGGAACGGAAAAUGAGGGAGUUCAACUCUGGCCCUCACAAUCCAGUGGAGGAGACGAAACUCAGCUGCCUCUGUCCCUCUGGGCACGCCUCAUGCCAGGUGCAUCUGUGGACAGGGGCCAUGCUCCUGGGCUUCCAAAGUUGGAGAAAGCUGCCAGGCUCAGGUCUGAAGGCCAGAAUUCUACAGUAAGUCCUACUCAGUCAAGGUGGGAGCAGGGUCAGUGGCUUCCGAGGCUCUGCGGGAGAAUCCGUUUCCUGGCCGUGGAGGUGGCCUGCACUCCUCAGCUUGUGCUGCCCGUCUCGAAUGACUGGAGUUUCCUGCUUCUGUCACUACACCUCCCACCCUCUCCAUCACCUGCUCUGCUCUUAUAAGGAUCCGAAGAAAUGGAAUAAUCGUAUCGCUGAUCUACGUAAACAAAUUGAAGAAUUGUCUGAAAGAAAAUAUGUUAUGUCUAAACUGGAAAAGUCCUGUAAUCUUAUGUUCAUGGGCUUUUACACAAUGGAGUUACUGUUCAUCAUGGGGGUACCGUGGACAAGCCCAGAGCUGCCGGCGAGUCAUGCCAUCCUUACACGUUUCUCCUUGGAAGACGUGAACUUAUGAAUUCAACAGGUGAAGAUUUACAACUUGAUAAAUCAGCUUCAUGAGAGCCACCUGAGCUGAAGAUUCCCUUGAGAACAAGUACUGUCCUGUGGUUUCAUGGCCUUUCUUCCAUUUGUGGUUCUUGCGAAGUGGAAUUUAAAUGACAUCUUAUCAAGAUGGAUAAACCCUAGUUUCCCAGUGCUGGAAUAUAGAAAAUGGAUGGACAAGUAAAUCCCACUCAGCACCCAUAGUCCAGGCAUGGGGACCUCAACACACCUGAGCCCCAGACAUCACCUUUCAUUCUGGACCUACCAUGAAAGACUUCUGAAUCCAGGAAGAGAGACUGACUGGGAAACAUGUUAUUCAGAUGGGGUCUUCUUAUGUUGCCCAGGCUGGUCUCAAAUUCCUAGGCUCAAGUGAUUCCGCCCACCUCUGCCUCCCAAAGUGCUGGGAUUACAGUCAUGAGCCAGCGCAUCUGGCCACCUUAUUUUCUAUUACUGGCUCAAUGUAAUGGCUCCAUCUCAGGAACAGCCAAUGAAAGAGAUGCACAGGACAAGAAACAGGACCUUGCCCUGUCACUCAGGAUGGAGUUCAGUGGUCCAAUUAUGGCUCAUUGUAGCCUCAAACUCCCAGGCUCAAGCAGUCCUACCAUGUCAGCCUUCCCAGUAGCUGGGACCACAGGUAAGCAUCGUGACACUCAGUGAAUUUUGUUUUUAUUUUUUUGUAGAGAUGGGGCCUCAGUAUGUUGCCACGGCUGACCUUGAACUCCUGCACUCAAGGGAUUUUCCUGCCCUGGCCUCCCAAAGUAUUGGUAUUACAGGCAUGAGCCAUUGUGCCCACCGUCUCUGGUUCUUAACCUUCUACUUCCCUCUUCCAGUUUUAAAGAAUGCUUGUAAUUACAUGGGCUCUCCUAGAUACUCCAGGAUAAUCUUGUUUUAAGGUCAGCUGAUGAGCAACAUUAAUUUUAUCUGCACUCUUAAUUCCCCCUUCCUAUGUAAUUGUGCUGUGUAACAUAGGACAUGAGCAAUUGGUGGGGGUGGGGGUUAUUACUUUGGCCACCACAGUAUUUUAUGCCAGGUACUCAGCUAAGCACUGGUGAAUUAAGCAUGAAUAACACACACUCCCUAAUCUCCAUCCAUUCAUGGGAGGAGCACCUCACCUGCCAUGCUCCUGAGAAUCUGGGGAGUCAAAGAAGUCUUCCAUGAGGAGGUGAUGCCAAAGCGGACAAGUGACAGAGUCGAAGCUAGCUAGGAAGAGAGUAGAGGUUUAAGGGGAAGCGUAUUAUAAGCAGAGGAUAUCACCCACUUCAGAGACUCCCAGAGGAGAAAGAGUGUGUGUUCAAAGGGCAGAUGAGGCUCAGUUGGACUCCAUAGCAGAUGAAAUGGAGAGGGGCAAGCAAUGAGGCUGCCUUGCAAGGCAGGGCAGAGCAGGGGCUGUUGAAGGGUUUGGACUUAAUCCCUGAGGCAAGGAGAAGUGAUGUAAAUGGGGGAGUAACAUGAUGAGAUUAAUGGAUUAGAGACAUGGCUCAGGCUGCUGUAGAGAAGGCACCAGGGAGAGCAGAUGGCUCAAUGGGUGUGUAGGAGACCUCUCACUGAGUUUAGGGAGAGGUUUUUAAAACAGAAGAAGUUUGAGUAAUUUAAAUGAUGAUGGGAAGGAGCUAAAAGUAGGGGAUAGGUUAAAGAUACAGGAAAGUGGGAGGAAGAACUGACAAGUGAGGUUCCAGAGAGGGCAGGAGAAGAGGAGAUUCCCAUAGGGGGAUUAACACUUUCUUUUCUUUUUUCUUUCUAAGACAGGGUCUCACUCUGUCGUCCAGGCUGGAGUGCAGUGGCACAAUCUUGGCUCACUGUAGUGUAGGCUUCCCAGGCUCAAGGGAUUCUCCCACCCCAGACUCCCAAGUAGCUGGAACUACGGGUGUGCACCACCACCACACCUGGCUAAUGUUUCUUUUUUUGGUAGACACAGAGUCUCACUAUUUUGCGCUGAUUGGUCUCCAACUCCUGGCCUCAAGCGAUCCUCCUGCCUAGGCUUCCCAAAUUGCUGGGAUUACAGGCAUGAGCCAUAAUGCCUGGCCUCUGCUAGUUCUGUAUUCUCUAGAGUUGUCUUUACUUUGUGCUAGCGUGUCCCUCAUUGUGCUAAUCCUCUGUAAAAAUUAAUACCUUUUUUUCUUUUCGAGAUGGAGUUUCACUCUUGUUGCCCAGGCUGGAGUGCAAUGGCGCUAUCUCGGCUCAGCGCAACCUCCACCUGCCGGGUUCAAGCGAUUCUCCUGCCUCAGCCUCCCGAGUAAUUGGGAUUACAGGCAUGUGCCACCAUGCCCAGCUAAUUUUGUAUUUUUAGUAGAGAUGGGGUUUCUCCAUGCUGGUCAGGCUGGUCUCAAACUCCUGACCUCAGGUGAUCUGCCUUGGCCUCCCAAAGUGCUGGGAUUACAGGCAUGAGCCAUUGUGCCUGGCCAAAAUUAAUACUUUUUAUAUUAAAUUUACAUAUAUAUACAUUUUUUUCUUUUUGAUACCGGGUCUCACACUGUCACCCAGGCUGGAGUACAGUGGCAUAACCUCUGCUCACUGCAGCCUCCACCUGCCAGGCUCAAGCAAUUCUCCUGCCUCAGCCUCCCGAGUAGCUGGGAUUACAGGUAAGUGCCACCACACCCAGCUGAUUUUUGUGUUUUUUGUAGAGACGAGGUUUCGCCAUGUUUCCCAGACUGUUCUCAAACUCCUGAGCUCAAAGCAGUCCACCCACCUUGGCCUCCCAAAGUGCUGGGAUUACAGGUGUGAGCCACCUUGCUCAUUCUAGUUUAAACUUUGGAGUGGUUUGUGUCUCCUGAUUGGACUCCUGCAAAUACAGAAUUGAUGCUAGGAAGGGUACCAGGAGAUAGACGCACACAGAUGGGAUUUGGGAAUAGGUUUGGUUAUCCAAGGAGCAGUGCUGAGCUCCUUGCUAAUGGGAUAUGGGAUGCUGGUGAUUUCCAGUAAGUGACCUCAAAAUUACUCAGGCUACCACAUACUGUUGAUUGUGAUGAAAUGCCAGUUGAAGCACCUGUCCUGCGAGCUUAGGGGUGCUACAAGUUGACCACUGCAGCAGUAAAGAUGACUCUGAAGAAUGGCAUGGGAUGGAUCCUUUCGAAUGCACUUGAGCAGCGGUCUCCAACCACAGGGCCACAGAGCUGGAGCUGGAUCUACCAUGAAAGACCUCUGAAUCCAGGAAGAGAGACUGACUGAGCAACAUGUUAUUCAGGGUCUCCAUCUGUUGUCCAAGGCUGGAGUGUAGUAGUGCUAUCACAGCUGACUGCAGCCUCAACCUUCCAGGCUGAAGCGAUCCUCCCAUCUCAACCUCCCACGUGGCUGAGACUACAGGUGCUUGCCACUAUGCCCAACUAAUAUUUGGAAUUUUCGUAUACGUGGAUUCCAGAGGGGUGACAGUGAAACGUGGGACCAUCCAGUUGCAGGAAAACAAGCUUAAGACGCCCACUGAUUCUACAUUAUGCUCCUACCUCCCGGCAGCCUCUCCAGGCCCAGAACUUUCUCCAAUCAGCCUCUACAGACCAAGCUCAUGACUCACAAUGGCCUAUUUAGGCCCAUACCCUACGUCACGGCAGUCUCCGCAGAUGAGCCUACUGCCCCACAACAGCCUCCACAGGCACAGCUCCAUCGUUACAAUGGCCUCUUUAGACCCAGCUCCUGCCUCCCAGCCUUCUCUCCAGGCCCUGAACUUUCUCAAGUCGACCUCACCAGGCCCAGCUCAUGCUUCUUUGCAGCCUCUCCAGGCCCAGCUCCUGCAUCUUGGUGGCCCCUCCAGGCCCAGCCUCUGCCUCCCGUCGGCCUCUACAGUCCCAACAUCUGCCUCACAGCAGAUUCUUCACGCCCAGCAUCUGCCUCACUGUGGACCCCCCAAGCCAAGCUCCCAACCUUUCAGCAGCUUCUACACACCCAGCUCCUGCCACCCAGUGGCCUCUUUAGGCCAAGCUCAUGCUUCACAAGGGCCUUUCCAGGCCCAACUUUUGUCUCAUGGCAACCUUCCCUGGCCAGAUUCCUGCCUGUCUCCCAGCAGCCUAGACAGGCCCAGGGCCUCUCUACAUGCAGCUUAUGCCUCACGGUGGCCUCUCCAGGCCCAACUCCUGUCCCAGGACGUCAUCUCCGGGCCCAAAACUUACUCAAGUCAGACUCUGUAGUCCCAACUGCUGCCUCCUGGUGGCCUAUGAAGGCCCAAAAUCUCCUCAAGUUGACCUUUCCAGGCCCAGCUCCUGCCUCCUGUCAGCGUCUACAGGCCCAACCUCUACGUCAUGGGGGCUUCUCCAGGCCCACCUCUUCCUCUUGGCUGGGUCUACAGGCACAACUGCUGCCUCACAACAGCCUUUUUUGGCCCAGUUCCUGUCCAGCUCAUGGCGGCCAAUGUAGGCCCAAAACUUCCUCAAGUCAAACUCUCCAGGCCCACCUUCUGCUUCCCAGUGGCAUGAACAGGCCCAGCUUUGACUUGAGAACAGCCUCUGCAGGCCCUGCUCUUGCCUCCCAGGGGCUUUUUCCAGGCCCAGCUCUUGCCUCAUGGCAGCUGCCCCAGGCCAAAUUUCUGCCUGCCUGCCAGCAGCCUCAACAGGCAUAGCUCCUCCCUCACAGUGGCCCAUUUAGGCCCAACUCAUGACUGUCGGGCCAUUUCCAGGCCUAGUGCCUGCCUCGUGGCUGACUCUUGAAGCCCAAAACUUCCUCAAAUCAGCCUUUUGCCCAACUUCUGUCUACUGUCGGACUCUACAGGCCAGCCUCUGCCUCACAGUGGACCCUCCAGACCCAGAUGGUGUCUCACUGUGGCAUCCUCAGUCGAAGCUCCUGCCUUUCGGCAGCCUCUCCAGGCCCAGCUCCUCCUGCCUCCCAGUGGCCUCUUUCGGCCCAGCCCAGCUCAUGCCUCCCGGCGGCCUUCCCAAGCCCCGCUUUUGACUUUCGGUGGCCUCUGCAGGCCUCGACAAGGCCCAGCCUCCUGCCUCCCGAAGGCCUGCACAGGCCCAGCCUCUGCCUCACAGCGGACUCUCCACGCCCAGCUAGCUGUCGCCUCAUUGCGGCCUCCCGAGUCCAAAGCUCCUGCCUCUCGGCCGCUUCGGCAGGCCCAGCUCCCACCUGCCAGUGGCCUCUUCAGGCCCAUGGGGCUCGUUCCUCACAACGGCCUUUCCAGGCCCAGUUUUUCCCUUCCGGCGGCCUCUCCGGGCCCAGAACCUCCUCAAGUCGGCCUCUCCAGAGCCACUUGCACCCUCCGGGCGUCCUCUCCGGGCCCAGCUCUUCUUCCUGGUUGCGUCUCCAGGCCCGACUCCUGCCUCUCAACAACCUCUUUGGACUCAGUGCCUACCCAUCUCCUGGCGGCAUUGGUCGGCCCACAGCUUCCUCAAGCCAAGCUCCCCAGGCCCAGGUCAGGCCUCACGGUGGCCUCUCCAGGAUGAGCUCCUGCCCUCCGAUGGCAUCUCCAGGCCCCAAAUGGUCUCCGGUCGGUGGGCUCCUCCACGCCAAGCUUGGGCCUCCCGGCGACCGCUGCAGGCCCAAGUUGUCCUGAAGUCGGCCUCUCCUGGCCCUGCCUCCCAGCAAGUAAGCAAGCUCUUUUGGCUCAACUCCUGCCCAGCUCCCAACCGCCUUUCUAGGCCCCGAACUUUCUCCAGCCAAGCUCUGAGGGCCCACCUCCUGCCUCCUGGUGGCCUGUACAGGCCCAGCACUGGUUGGAGAACAGCCUCUGCAGGCCCCGCCCUUGCCUACCAGGGGCCUCUCCAGGCGCAGCUCUUGCCCCCACGGCGGCCUCCCGGGGCCAAGUCCCUGCCUGCCUCCCAGCAGCCCACGUGCGGCCCAGCUCCUCUCUCACGGUGGCCUGUUGAUGCCCACCCUCCCACGCGGACAGAGGUCAGCCUGAGCCCCUUGCCUCACACCGGCCCCUCCCACGCGGACAGAGGUCAGCCUGAGCCCCUUGCCUCACACCGGCCCCUCCCACGCUGAGAGAGGUCAGUGUGAGCCCCUGCCUCAACAGGCCACCGUGAGGGAGGAGCAGGGUCGCACGCGGGCUGCUGGGAGGUAGGCAGGGACUUGGGCCUGGGAGGUCGCGGUGGGGCGAGAGCUGGGCCUGGAGACUCCCCUGGGAGGCAACAGCGGGGUCUGCAGACACCCUUCUCCAGCUGGAGCUGGGACUGUUCAGUCACUGGGAGAAGGGAUGUGGGUCUGAAGAGCUUGGUUGCAGAAACUUCGGGGUCUACAAAGGCCGGCGGGAGCUGAGCCAAAAGAGCUUGUUUGCUGGGAGGCGGGAGAUGCAGCCAGGAGGAACAGCUGGGCCAUGCGGGAGGCAGAGGCCGGGCCUCCUCAAGUCGGCCUCUCAGACCCACUUGCAGCCUCCCAGCGUCCUCUCCGGGCCCAGCUCUUCCUCCCGGCUGCGUCUCCAGGCCGGACUCUGGCCCGACUCCAGGUCCCAACAACGUCUUUGGACUCAGCUCCUGCCCAGCUCCCAGAGGCCCUGGUAGGCCCACAACUUCCCUAAGCCAAGCUCCCCAGGCCCAGCUCAGGCCUCACGGUGGCCUCUCCAGGCUCAGCUCCUGCCCUCCGAUGGCAUCUGCAGGCCCCAAACGGCCUCCGGUUGGUGGGCUUCUCUAGGCCCAGCUUGGGCCUCCCGGUGGCCUCUGCAGGCCCAAAUCGUCCCGAAGUCGGCCUCUCCAGGCCCAGCUCCGGCCUCCCAGCGGCCUCUGCAGGCCCAAGUCGUCCUCAAGUCGGCCUGGAAGUGGGCCUGGAAGAGCAGCAAGUCGGCCUCCCCGGGCCCAGCUCCGUCCUCUCGGCGGCCUCUCCAGGUGCAAAACUUCCUCGAGUCAGCCUCUCCAGGCCCAGCUCUUCCUGCCUCCCAGUGGCCUCUUUCGGCCCAGCCCAGUUCAUGGCUCUCGGCGGCCUUCCCAGGCCCCGCUUUUGACUUUUGGCAGCCUCUUCAGGCGCAGAACUUGAUCUCCAGUCGGCCUUUGCAGGCCCGGCCUCCUGCCUCUCAAAGGCCUGCACGGGCCUGGCCUUGGCCUUGGCCUCACAGUGGACUCUCCACGCCCAGCUAGCUCUCGCCUCACUGCGGCCUCCCCCGUCCAAAGCUCCUGCCUUUCGGCCACUUCGGCAGGUCCAGCUACUGCCUGCCAGUGGCCUCUUUAGGCCAAGCUCAUUCCUCACAACGGCCUUUCCAGGCCCCGUUUUUCCCUUCCGGCAGCCUCUUGGCCUCUAAUUUGUUUAUCUUUUGUGUAUAAAUCCCAAAAUAUGGAAUUUUGGAAUAUUUCCACCAUUAUAUAUUUUGGUAGGUAAUUUAUUUGGAGUGAGUUUCUGCACCAUGCCCGAACUUUUUGUUUUAUUUUCCUUAUUAUUUGGUGUUAAACAGGUUUAAUGACGGUCAUGGCAACUUUUUGGCACAAUGAAAAAUAUCGCCCAUGAUCAACGUGUUCUGUUCUGGGGAAGGGGGCAAAGGCAGGGUGAAUCACUUUCUUAAAAAGUAUAGCUCAAGUUGGGAGUGCAGAGGGAAUGGGGAGAAAACCCUUCCGCUGCCUGUGUCGAAGUGCAGGAGCCCCCACCCCCAUACUCACCUGAGUCCAGCCCCUCUGGGGAAAGAAGGGGUGCAUGAACUCCCCUUAGUCCACAGGCGCCUCCCUGUGGCCCAAGGCCCUCUUCACACUCCAUCUUGUAGCCCCAGCAGGAGCUAUUUUCCGAAAAGUGAAAAGCUCUGAAGGUCCCACAAUUCAUGGUAUGUACAGGGGCUCGGAGGAGGGAAACUGCCCAGCUUUCCCCCGGCACAGCUGCAGGGGUAGGGGGUAUAGAUAAGAGGAGCAGGCCUUGGCCAGGCGUGGUGGCUCACGCCUGUAAUCCCAGCACUUUGGGAGGGGGAGGCAGGCAGAUCACGAUGUCAGGAGAUCGAAAUCAGCCUGGCCAAGAUGAUGAAGCCCCGUCUGUACUAAAAAUACAAAAAUUAGCCGGACGUGGUAGCGUGCACCUGUAAUCCUAGCUACCCGGAAGGCUGAGGCAGGAGAAUGGCGUGAACCCGGUGGGAAGAGUUUGCAGUGAGCCAAGAUCGCACCACUGCACUCCAGCCUGGGCGACAGAGCAAGACUCGGUCUCAAAAAAAAAAAAAAAAAAAAAAAAAGGCAGGCCUUACUCCGUCCCAAACUGAAAGGAUUAAAUGGCUUUACCUGGGAGAAGAUAACCAUCCUGCCCUCCAUUGCUACCCCCACAUACUGUCCAUGUUCUCAGGGGGUACUGUGAGUCCUGGGAUCUUUGGGGUUGCCCACCUGCCUGUGGUAGUUAUGGAGACCCCCCAGGUGUUUAGGCAGGGCUGGGGUGUCCCCUUCCAACCAGGCUGUCAAGGCCCCAACUCUGGGGCAGAGGCAGUGGCAGGGCAGCCAGGGUUGCGCCAGAGCCUGAGCAGGUUGAGGUGGGGUCAGGCAGGGCUGGGAGUCAGGGCAGGGGCAGCAGCAGUGGACCCGCUAUGCACACAUCGUCUUCUCCAAGGUUUGUGUGCAGAACAUCCUGCCCAUGCUGCCCCAGCAGCUUCAGUUGGCACCUGCCCCAGUCCAGCCUCUGGGAACCAUGCAGCAGCUCCCAGCGGCCCUGCACCCACCACCAGCAUCCGUUUCACCUGCAGUUGAAGAUCCGUGAGGUGCCCAGAAGAUCAUGCAGUCAUCAGUCCCACGGAGCAGCCCGUGAGGCUGAGGCUCCUCCCACUGGACCGCCCCCCAACUGGCACCACUGCUGCCCCUGCCCCUACUCUCAGCCUCACGUGACUCUCGGGCAGAGGCAGUGGUGGGGCAGCCAGGGCAGCGUCAAGAGUCUGAGCCAGGUGAGGUGCGGUCAGGACCCCCACAGGGCUGGGAGUCAGGGCAGGGGCAGAACAAACCUUGGAGGGGAAGAUGUGUGCAUAGUGGGCCUGGAGGGCGGCUGUGGCCUAGUGGACAGGAAGAAGCAGUGGGCCUGGAAGAGCUGCAUGAUCAGGGCCGGCACUGGUCCAGGGCACGUGCAGUGAAGAGGACAGCGCCUUCUCGGUCUCCGGUUCCCUGAGCCUGUCCUUGGCUUCUCCACCUGUACAGGCAAAGGGGAAGCUGUCCCCAUCACACAUGGCACACUUGGGGGUGUUGGGCUUUGGACUGCAGCUGGAGCAUCUUCUCAUCUUGCAUUUGGGCGUGGUGGGGUCCUCCAGUGUGGGAUCCAUGUCCGUGGGGUUCCCUCUGCCCCGACCCCGAAAGCCCAGUCAGUUUCUCUUCAGGCUCUGCCCCCCGGGUGGCUCAGCCCAGCUCCUGCCUAGGAAAGCCUUAGUGUUGGGAGGGACCCUGAUGACUGAGGAGCCUGGUAGCUCCAGGUCGCCCACACUUUCAGGUCUCUUGCACCAGAAGGUGGCAGGAUCCAUUGGGAGGAAACAGGUCACCUUGGAAGGCGUCCCUGGGCCCCCAUCCCCAGGGGUAGGGGCCGUAGGGGGCCCGCUCUGCUGCCUUGACCAGACUCCUGGGCAUUGAAGGCUCCUGGGCCCAGUAAGAAGGAGGUGGGUGCCAAGGUUGAGGAGGAAGCAUCCGAGUAUGUGUAGGAGGAGGACAAGGUGGGACCAUAGACUUUGCCAAAAGCUGCAGGUGGAUCGGGGGACCCUGGGGGCUCAGGAUCCAGCAAGGGGCGGCAGGAGUAAAGGAGGAAGGAAUGACAGGUGCAAAUACCUUCCCACCAAAGCCCUUGUUGCCCUCUGGCUCCUCCCCAGAGUUGUCCCCACUCUCAGUCGGUCACCCACUCCUUGAACUUGAGAUCGGUGUCAGUGGUGCUAAAGCCAUCAUCAGCAAUGACAUCAUCACCCCCUCCUCCUCAUGGAUGACCGUGUGCUCCUCGUCACUUGCUAUGUCCUCACUGGCCAUGUGCUGGGAAUGAGCAGCUCAGGUGGGCAGCAGCAGGGCUGCCCACUGGUCACCUCCCUCACCAGGGGCUGCAAAGUGGCCUGGAGCUCCAUACUGAGUAGAAGGCUUUGGGCCAGAGUAUGAUGCAGUGCCAGACACCACCUGUGUCAGUUCCCGUAGUGCCUGACGGUCUAUUUCCCUGCCGUCCAGGCUGUGUACCCCACUGUGGGAGAAGGCUUGGGCCAGGCUAAGCCAGGUUCCCUGACUGUGUGCAGCCAUUCUGCCCCACAGAAGCUGCUCCUUGGUAUCCGAGCUCUGGAGUGUUUGGGCUGCAACUGACAGGAGUUCAGAGGACACCCCAGGGGCAGUGGCAGUGCCCGUCUCUGAUAUUCUCCGCUCCCACGAGCCCUUGUUACACUCCUGCUAGCCCCUGGCUUGUGGGCUUGGCCUCUGAGCUGGACUUCUUUCGGUCCUUGUUGCAAGUGGGCCACCUUCACCUGGAAGGCCAGGUCGUGGUAUUUCUGCGUCUCAUUGGGCCCCAGGGUGUACCACCGCUUGCUCAGCAUCUGGCUGACGGUCCGGUUGUCCUGGUUGGGGUGACCCUGGUGCGCCCUGCCAGGGCCUGGUGCCGCUUGCUGAAGAUCAUGACCGCCACUCAUGGGCCACCGGAUGUGGUCCUUGUCCCAUUUGUUGGGGCUGCAUCCAUCCUUCUCAGAAGAUGAGUCCUGUUCCUUGCGCAGGGCACUGAGGGACUGGGCCUGACAUCAUCUGGCUGGUAGAGGCAACUGGGUGUCAGGAGACAUGAUGGAGAGGAAAGCAUCAUCAUGGUCAUUCUCUGUCUCACUGUCCAGCAGGGACUCCCCUGAGGGGCCCAGGGCUCCUCCUCCAUGGUGGGAGGUGAGCUUUUACCAGGUUCCACCACCCCCAAAGUGUGUGGGGUUGCGGGCCCUGGGCUUUCAGGGCAGGUGGCUCCAGGGGGCCACCCAGGGUCAGCACUCCCUGUCCCACCUGGUGGACACUCAUGAGCAACAGCUGCUGACUUGGCAGGUUCUUUGCUCUGGUUGGAGGCCACUGAGUGACUGGCAGGUUGCUGGACCUCACAUAGCUGCAGGGAGGGGUCAGGAAGGGGACAGAGUACCAGGAGAACACAGCCACAGAGCAAGGUUCCACGUUCCUCCACACAAACAUGCUGACGCCACUGGAGGCCUCGCUGGACGCAGACAUCAGGGGCCUGUGGGCCAAGUACAUGGUCUGGGCAGGGGGUUCCUGGCAGGGGCUCACACCUCCUCAGCCCCCUCCUCAGCCAAGGCAGCUUGGACCCACGGAAGUGGGGAUGGAAGGGGAGCAUGAGGCCAGGCCUCAAGUUUUUGUUUUUGUUUUUUUUUUUUUUGAGAUGCAGUUUGGCAGGCUGGAGUGCAGUGGUGCGAUCUCAGCUCACUGAAACCUCCACUUCCUGGGUUCAAGCAAUUCUCCGGCCUCAGCCUCCCAUGUAUAUGCACCUUUACUGCUGAAUAUUAUAUAUUUUCUUAUGCUUUCAUGUGAUUGAUUAGCAUUCUUUUUUUUUUUCUUUUUGAGACAGAGUGUUGCUGUCGCCCAGGCUGGAGGGCAGUGGUGUGAUCUCGGCUCACUGCAACCUCUGCUUCAUGGUUUAAUUGAUUCUCCUGCCUCAGCCCCCUGAGUAGUUGGGAUUACAGGCACCCGCCACCACACCUGGUUAAUUUUUUGCAUUUUUAGAAGGCGUGGGUUUUUGCCAUGUUGGCCUGGCUGGACUUGACCUCCUGACCUCAAGUGAUCCACCCUCCUUGGCCUCCCAAAAUGCUGGGAUUACAGGCAUGAGCCACCACACCCAGCUGCUUUCUUUCAUUUUUACUUGAAAAACUCCAUUAAGCAUUUCUUUUAAAGUAGACCUAGUGGUGGCUCAUACCUAUAAUCCCAGCACUCUGGGAGGCCAAGGUUUCAGGAUCGCUUGAGCCCAGGAGUUCAAGACCAGCCUGGGUAACAUAAUGAGACACCAUCUCUACAAAAAAUGCAAAAAUUAGCUGAGCAUGGUGGCACGCACCUGUAGUCCCAGCUACCUGGGAUGCUGAGGUGGGAGGAUCACUUGAGCCCGGGAAGUCACAGCUGCAGUGAGCCAUGAUCGCACCACUGCACUCCAGCCUGAACAACAGUGUGAGACCCUGUUUUUUAUUUUUUAUUUUUAUUUAUUUAUUUUUUAAAGACAUAGGUAGCUAGAGUAAUACAGAGAUGAAAGGGAGAGUAUUCACACACGCUUCUUAAAAUAGAAAUUACUAAAUUUUAUUUUACUUAAAAUAAAAUUUAGCUGUGAGGAUUCUCCACAAGGCUGCUCAUGACAUGGCAGAUGGCUUCCCCUUGGGUGGAAUGACAGGAGGGCGAGGGCCAAGGUGAGGGUGGUACGGAGAGAGAAAAAACUACCAAGAUGAAAGCUGCAGUGCCUUUUAUAACCUAAUCUUGGAAGGGACAUAUCACUACUUGUGCCUUAUCCUUUCAGUCACACAGACCAACCCUGAUAUGUUAUGGAUAGGGACUUGGAGACUGCUCCAAAGACCAGGAGGUGACGAUCACUGGGGUCCUCUGGGAGACUGGCCACCACAGUUGCCUUUUCCUUUUCAGGUCACUUACAAGGGUCUUUGUUGCUAUGGAGGUGGAUGUGGGCAUAAUCAAAGGGUACAUGUUGUACAGGCCUUUAUUAUACAAACCUCUACAAUAAAACAAUAACACAUCACUGCCAAGACAGUUAUACAGUGUUAAAUUGGAAUGGAAAGGAAGGAAUCAGAAUUUCAUGUGAUAGAACACUUAAAAGUCUGCCUGUGCACAUGUAUGAAUAUGCAUUAGGGAGAAGUAAAAGAGUGACCUGAAAAUCUUCCUAAAGUAAUAUUAUCUAGAAAGUUUGAGAGGUUUAACUGUGGCUAACAAGAUUUCCUGAAGAUAAAAUGUUCCUGGGGCCUUAAUAGUUACAAGAACUUUACCAAAUCAAGAAAGCAAAUAUAUAGGAGUCUAAAAAUUAUUUAGUUUUGCAUAUUCAUUUCAGAGUACCAAUUAUGAUUUUAUUUCUUUUUAAUUUUUAAAAGUUUAGAAAAAAAACGAGAACCAAUUACAAUGUUAAAAGGAAACAGGAAGGAUAGAUUUGGGGCCAAUUAUAUUACUGUUUGGGUUUUUGUUACUAUAAAAAUGGAAAUAUUAAAGAUUUUAAAAAAUGAGUGGUAAUAGAGUACAAAUCUGCAAAUGAUGAAUCAGCAAUUAUAUUUUUAUACCAAAUGGUAUGUUUGUGAUAUUGAUAUAGUAUUAAUGCACUGUGAAUUUAUUUAUUUAUUUUGAGAUGGAAUCUUGCUCUGUCGUGCAGACUGGUGUGCAGUGGUGCGAUCUCAGCUCACUGCAACCUCUGAUAUGGUUUAGCUGUGUCCCCACCCAAAUCUCAUCUUGAAUUCCUAUGUGUUGUGGGAGGGACCUGGUGGAAGGUCCAUGAAUGAUGGGGGCAAUCAAUUCUUUCCUGUGCUGUUCUUAUGAUAGUAAAUAAGUCUCACAAGAUCUGAUUUUUUUUUUUUUUUUUUUUUUUUUUUUUUCCAAGACAGAGUCUCACUCUGUCACCCAGGCUGGUGUGAAGUGGUACAAUCUCAGCUCACUGCAGCCUCUGCCUCCCGGGUUCAAGUGAUUCUCCUGUCUCAGCCUCCCAAGUAGUUGGGAUUACAGUUGCCUGCCACCAUGCCUGGCUAAUUUUUGUAUUUUUAGUAGAGAGGGGAUUUCACCAUGUUGGCCAGGCUGGCCUUGAAGUCCUGACUUCAGAUAAUCUGCCUGUCUCAGCUUCCCAAAGUGCUGGGAUUACAGGCGUGAGCCACUGUGCCCAGCUGAGAUCUGAUGGUUUUAAAAAGAGGAGCUCCCCUGCAUGAGAUCUCACUUUUUGCCUGCUACCAUUUAUGUAAGAUGUGACUUGCUCCUUCUUGCCUUCCAUCAUGACUGUGAAGCUUCCCCAGCCAUAUGGAAUUGUAAGUUCAAUUAAACUUCUUUUCUUUGUAAAUUACCCAGUCUCGGGUAUGUCUUUAUCGGCAGCAUGAAAACGGACUAAUACAGUAAAUUGGUACCAGGAGUGGGAUGUUCUGAAAAGAUAUCUGAAAAUGUGGAAACGACUUUGGAACUGGGUAAUAGGCAGAGGUUGGAACAGUUUUGAGGGCUCAGAAAAAGACAGGAAAAUGUGGAAAAGCUUGGAACUUUCUAGAGACUUGUUGAAUGGCUUUGCCAAAAAUGCUGAUAAUGAUAUGGACAAUAAGACCCAGGCUGACGUGGUCUCCGAUGGAGCUGAGGAACUUACUGGGAACUGGAGCAAAGGUGACUCUUGUUAUGUUUUAGCAAAGCGACUGGCAGCAUUUUGCCCCUGCCCUAGAGAUGUGUGGAACUUUGAACUUGAGAGAGAUGAUUUAGGGUAUCUGGCAGAAGAAAUUUCUAAGCAGCAAAGCAUUCAAGAGGUGACUUGGGUGCUGUUGAAAGCAUUCAGUUUUAAAAGGAAAACAGAGGAUAGAAGUUUGAAAAAUUUGCAGCCUGGCAAUGCGAUAGAAAAUUGCAUUUUCUGAAUAGAAAUUCAAGCCAGCUGCAGAAAUUUGCAUAAGGAAGGAGGAGCCAAAUGUUAAUCCCCAAGACAAUGGGGAAAAUGUCUCCAGGCCAUGUCAGAGGCCUUCACGGCAGUCCCUCCCAUCACAGGCCCAGAAGCCUAGGAGGAAAAAGUGGUUUCAUGGGCUGGGCCCAGGGUCCCCAAGCUAUGUGCAGCCUGGGGUUUGGUCCACUGCAUCCCAGCUGCCCCAGCUGUGGCUGAAAGGGGACAAUGUAGAGCUCGGGCCCUGGCUUUAGAUGGUGCAAGCCCCAUGCCUUGUGGUGUUGAGCUUCCAUGUGGUGUUGAGCCUGCAGGUGCACAGAAGUCAAGAAUUGAGGUUUUGGAACCUCCACCUAGAUUUCAGAAGAUGUAUGGAAAUGCCUGGAUGCCCAGGCAGAAAUUUGCUGCAAGGGUGGGGCUCUCAUGGAGAACCUCUGCUAGGGCAGUGCAGAAGGGAAAUGUGGGGUCGGAUCCCCCACACAGAGUCCCUACUGGGGCACUGUCCUCCAGACCCAGAAUGGUAGAUCCACUGACAGCUUGCACUGUGUGCCUGGAAAAGCCACAGACACUCAAUGCCAGCCUAUGAAAGCAACCAGGAGGGAGACUGUACCCUGCAAAGCCACAGGGGCAGAGCUGCUCAAGACCAUGGGAACCUACCUCUUGUAUCAGCAUGACCUGGAUGUGAGACAUGGAGUCAAAGGAGAACAUUUUGGAGCUCUAAGAUUUGACUGCCCUGCUGGAUUUUGGACUUGCAUGGGGCCUGUAGCCCCUUUGUUUUGGCCAGUUUCUCCCAUUUGGAAUGGCUAUAUUUACCCAAUGCCUAUACCCCCAUUGUAUCCAGGAAGUAACUAACCUGCUUUUGAUUUUACAGGCUCAUAGGUGGAAGGGACUUGCCUUGUCUCAGAUGAGACUUUAGACUGUGGACUUUUGAGUUAAUGCUGAAAUGAGUUAAGACUUUGGGGGACUGUUAGAAAGGCAUGAUUGGUUUUGAAAUGCGAGAUCAUGAGAUUUGGGAGGGGCCAGGGGCAGAAUGAUAUGGUUUGGCUGUGUCCCCAUCCGAAUCUCAUCUUGAAUUUCUGUGUGUUGUGGGAGGGACAGGUGGGAGGUCAUUGAAUGAUGGGGGCAAGUCUUUUCUGUACUGUUCUUGUGAUAGUGAAUAAGUCUCAUGAGAUCUGAUGGUUUUAAAAAGAGGAGUUUCCCUGCUCAAGCUCUCUCUCUUUGCCUGCUGCCAUCCCUGUAAGAUGUGACUUGCUCCUCCUUGCCAUCUGCCAUGAUGUGAGGCUUCCCCAGCCACGUGGAACUGUAAGUCCAAUUAAACCUCUUUUCUUUGUAAAUU